UAACACAUGCAAGUCAAGGAGAACGGGGAUCUUCGGAAUCCCUAGUAAACUGGCGAACGGGUGCGUAACGCGUUGGUGACCUACCCCGAAGUGUGGGAUAACAGUUCGAAAGGACUGCUAAUACCGCAUGUGGUCAUCGGGAUUAGAAGCCUAUGACUAAGGCAGCAAUGCGCUUUGGGAGGGACCUGCGUCCCAUCAGCUCGUUGGUAGGGUAACGGCCUACCAAGGCGACGACGGGUAGGGGACCUGAGAGGGUGAUCCCCCACACUGGCACUGAAACACGGGCCAGACACCUACGGGUGGCAGCAGUGAGGAAUAUUGGGCAAUGGGCGAAAGCCUGACCCAGCAACGCCGCGUGCGCGAUGAAGGUCUUCGGAUCGUAAAGCGCUUUUCUGAGAGAUGAGAA
RNAcentral lists this ribosomal RNA (406 nucleotides) under uncultured bacterium. Its description in RNAcentral is "bacterial SSU rRNA". It matches the Rfam family "Bacterial small subunit ribosomal RNA", at positions 49 to 451 of the family's 1533-position model. The record is from RNAcentral.